RNAcentral lists this ribosomal RNA (551 nucleotides) under bacterium IH3-10. RNAcentral's name for it is "bacterial SSU rRNA". It matches the Rfam family "Bacterial small subunit ribosomal RNA", at positions 47 to 628 of the family's 1533-position model. The record is from RNAcentral.
CCUAACACAUGCAAGUCGAACGAGAUCUUCGGAUCUAGUGGCGGACGGGUGAGUAACGCGUGGGAAUAUGCCCUUUGGUACGGAAUAGCCUCGGGAAACUGAGAGUAAUACCGUAUGUGUCCUCUGAUCGUGGUGGUUGGAGGAGAAAGAUUUAUCGCCAAAGGAUUAGCCCGCGUUGGAUUAGAUAGUUGGUGGGGUAAUGGCCUACCAAGUCUACGAUCCAUAGCUGGUUUGAGAGGAUGAUCAGCCACACUGGGACUGAGACACGGCCCAGACUCCUACGGGAGGCAGCAGUGGGGAAUCUUAGACAAUGGGGGCAACCCUGAUCUAGCCAUGCCGCGUGAUCGAUGAAGGCCUUAGGGUUGUAAAGAUCUUUCAGUUGGGAAGAUAAUGACGGUACCAACAGAAGAAGCCCCGGCUAACUCCGUGCCAGCAGCCGCGGUAAUACGGAGGGGGCUAGCGUUAUUCGGAAUUACUGGGCGUAAAGCGCACGUAGGCGGACUGGAAAGUUAGAGGUGAAAUCCCAGGGCUCAACCUUGGAACUGGCCUUU